AUAUGGUCAACAGCGAGAAUAACUCUCCACAAUGUGAUGAUGUAGUGGGGAUGAAAAACAGCUUGGGGUUUCUUGUGUUUACGUGUCCUGGAGUCUCUCAGAAUGACAAACAGGAAGCGGUUGAGCAUGGAGCUACAGCAACAAGGAGUCAGCUCGCUAAACAUCAGCUGCCUUGGGUCAUGAUCAUACCGGCAAAGUAUCAGUGUGCAGUCUGCAUACAUUAUUUAUAUUGCAAUUAUGAUGUUUGCCGGUAAGUUUGACUUACACACUUUUCACGGUUAAAGCCAGCUGCACAGACACCAAAUAUAAAGAUGUAUUUAUUAUUUAAGUUUCUCAACUACCCGCUGAGGGUAUUCACAUUCAUGCUUAUGACAAGAGGUUUUUCCAAAGCCAUAGGGAAAGGCAUUUAUUAGUUCAUGUCUGUUAAGUUCAUUGGUAAUCAAACUCAUGAUCUUGGUAUUGUUAGCACUUUACGCUACACUUUAUCCAGGAAAGCACACAGAUGUACUGUUUUUAGCUGAUUCUUUUAUUUAUUUAUUUUUGCUGAAUUGUAUUAAAUCCAAUUAGAGUCUUGAUUUAACACAUUUGUUUUAAUUUAAUAGGCUAUAUAACUCUGUUCCCUAACUCCAGUUGGCACAAUACAUUCUACUCCUCAAAAGCAGUGUGAGCUUCUGGAAGGAAUGUAACAGCACAGAUCCAGCAAAAUCAGAGAUGAAACAUGGGCUUCAACUUCAUGUAACAGAAUUUCAGUAUGGUGUGGUUGCAAGUACUAAAUAAAUUGGCCAAUGAGACUGUAUAUCCAUCAAGUUGAAAUGAGCUCUUAGCGACUGGCUUUGAAAGGGAUGUUCUCAAUCUCUUCAAACUGGAACUCAUGGAAUACUUUCCCCCAGAGCAGGUGCUUCCGGAAACCUCAUCCAACGCAUGUGCUCCUAAUUGAAGAUCAUCUGCUGGACAGUAAACUCAAGACUCUAUGUAAAGAGAGAAUAAAAAAAUGUCUAUAGACUGUUAUCAGUUGUGAGCUUUUACAACUAAAACGUGGUAGAUGGAACACACCAGGGGCCUCAUUAUCAGGUUCAUACAUGGAUGUGUUUAAAAGGAGCCCCAAUUUAUCAUUCAAAACACAUUGUGGCCGGAGAAAUGAUAAUGUAUUAUCUGCCAUACAGCUAUGUGGCUCCACCACACAGGAAGGAAGGCAUCAAUAGGAUGGCCAACUAGGCAAAGGAUGUCCACAGAGACAGUAUGGAGCCAGAAAGACAUGCUUUAAAGUCUCUGUUUAUUAAUUCAAUAGAGUUAACCUUUUUUUUUUUUUCUUUUUUUUUUUUUUGAGUGCCAAAAAUCAUCUGAUCUCCCAGAAAGACACCAAAAAAUAUAAUAACAACGUAACAACACAUAACCUAUUAAAUGGCUCUUUGGAAUCCUUGAUUUUGAUUGGUUAAUUGUGGCAUUUAUUUGUGGCUUCUCAUGGCAAUGCUGUCCUUAAUCAGUUCAGAUGCCAUAUUAAAUUUAGCACAGAUGAAAAAAGGCUGUGAAGGACAGACUUGGUAUUCUUUGUAGAGGACUUUAGUAUCAAUAUUACAUAUAAUAAUAGUGUUGCAGCAUUCAUUUGGUUCUUGUCCAGUUGUUUUGUAAUUUUUUUAUGAAUUAUUUGUUUCUCAAUGGAAGCUUAAAAAUAAUACAGGUAAAAUAAUAUUUCAGGACAACAUAUUUAUUUAGAAUCAAAUGAUGAGUGAGCCCAGAACACUUUGUUGGUUUGUUGAAAUUUAACUCAGCAUUUAACUAAAAGGAACAAAUAAAUGAUUUGUAUGCGGGAAAGUCAAUAGAAUUAUCUACCGCUGUGUCUUUGAUGAUUUUAUAAUGCAAAACGGCAUACAGUUGGGGAAUAAAUAAAUGUUUAAUGGGUAAGAAAGAGGGAACGUAGGCUCGUAGGAAGACUAUGAAAACUAGAUACUUUUCUGUGAUCUUGAGUUUGAUCUGUCAACACAGAGUCAGAAUGAAAAUAAUAAACAGAACAAGAUAGAGUAGAGGAGGGAAAACAUUUCCAAUGAGAGAAAAAGAUACAGAGAGAGAAGAUCAAACAAAUAAACAUGACAUGGUGAAUAAGUAAUACUAAUACUUAUGAAAACAAAAGAGAAUUGUAUAUGAGGGAUCACAUGGUCAGAAUAAUUUAGUCUUUGCAAAGUCUUGGAUUUAAGUAAACACAUUCUGCCUUUACUGGUGUGACCUAUUCCUUUU
Molecule: long non-coding RNA, 2232 nt
Filed under: Carassius auratus (goldfish)
Lineage: Eukaryota; Metazoa; Chordata; Actinopteri; Cypriniformes; Cyprinidae
Description: lncRNA (ENSCARG00000013661.1)
Source: RNAcentral